Molecule: long non-coding RNA, 5076 nt
Organism: Diachasmimorpha longicaudata
Lineage: Eukaryota; Metazoa; Arthropoda; Insecta; Hymenoptera; Braconidae
Exons: 3
Source: RefSeq, a predicted model, not a curated record
UCUGUUUCUAAUCCCAUGGCCACUUUUGGUCGUCAAAUGUUACUUAGAAAACCGGUAAUGAAACUUUUCCCUUUGUUUAUAUAUUCGGGGCCCUACCAAUAAAACUGUAGAACAUAUUUCCAGAGGAGAACGAGUGAAUUUUGUACUUGAGGAAAUCCCAAUAAUUCAAUACAAGAAGUUAAAACUGACCUUUUGCAAUGGAAAUUCCAGACAUUUGUUUAUCUAAAAUAAAUAUGGUUGGCAAAAUUAUAUUUUUCACUCAGUGGAUGCUCGGAAGGUCGGCUAGUCCUCGUAAAUUUAGUGGUAAGGUCACGCCAAGUUGACUUUUUUCGAAUCAAAUUCUCAUGAACAAAGUAGGGCAUCCAAUCAUAUGCCACAAUUGUCUGAUCAAAGCGUCAUCUGUUGGCGCUAUUCAUCAAUUCAUUCAAUCGUUUUAAUGUUUGGUUAAUUUUUUUAAAGAUGUGCAUCGAUUACUUAAUGGUUAUUAUUGGGAUAGGGGUAAAAGUAGAUAAAUAAAUGUAAAAAAUCAAGAGAACGUUUAUGACUCCAGAGGACAGAGUUUCCUUUGAAUACCGCAUGUGGUAAGGAUUACAAUGCUCUCAAGUUCGAAGCACAACAGAUCAUAAAUUAAUCCUUUUCUGGAGACUCUUUCAAACACGUCAUAAACCUUGUCGAGCGAUUUUUGAAGAUAAACAGAAGAGCUGUGUUAUAAUUUUCCACCAGUUAUUAUUACGCAUUACGUAAUGUGAGGACCCUGUAUGUGUGCACGUGAUUAUUUUAUAUAUUCAGUAUUUUGGCGUUUGAAGCAAUAGACCAUUAACUUGUAAAAUCCCAAAGCUCUGUUAUGUCCUAUCAAGUCACUAGUAGGACGGUGGCGCCAUUCACGAAUAUUUGCGCCAAGUUUUAAAAACGUGGAAAUCGUUAGCCGCCAAACCUCUAAUGAGGACUCCAUCGAUGUCAACUCGUUGAAAGGAAAUAGUUGGAUUCAGGUUUUUGCAAAUAAAAUCAAUCCAAACAGCAGAGCUUAGGAGAGCACGUAACACACACUUUAUUCAAUAACUUUUAAAUCUUAAAUUGAGUCUCGAAAUAUUAAUAAACAUUCAGAGAAACUAACAACCAAAACUAGACUGUGAAAUUUGGCGAUUAACUAUUUGAAGAGAGAAGCGGCACAGAAACAAGUUAAAAUCGAACUGCACUAAACUUAACUAAUUUUCCAAGGAUUGGGUCCUACAACUCCCACUAGUCUAAAUGUUGCGCACGCAACUUGGUCCAGAAAAAGGGAAGAGGGGUAGAAUAAGGAAAGCGGUGAAAAGGAAAAUGCAUGACAUCGCGUUUUCUCUGUCAAGGGACUCAGGCCCUCAACUUUCGAUACAAUGGACAAAGAAGACCUCACACGUGUUGAAUCAAAACAUGAGCAAAAACAGAACUGGUGCUUUAUGACUUAGACUGUAUUGAUUCGAAGAUUUAUGAUUUCCUUCUCAAGUUUCAGGUUUGGAGAAAAUGUUUAUCCAACGAAUUUUACGGGUAAAUAAAUGGGAAAGUUAAACUCAAGAGCUUAAGAUUUAUGCGUAACGGUUUUUCCCACACUGGUGGUGUUGUUUUCAUUGUGCGUUGUCCAUUGUCCAUUGUAUCUACUUAUUUUCUGCGUAUUUCGACACUGAUUAAAAAUAUAAGAAAUUAAUUUAAAGAAGAUUAAUUUAAAGAAGAAGAUUAAUAAGAAGUUUAAUAAGAAGAUUAAUUUAAAUUUCGCGGACUAAGAUUAAUCAUAUACAGUGACAUCUACUGGCUAUCAAGCUCAGGACAUCACAGCUCAUCUCCUAGGACAUGUUGUACCGGUAAUGUUGGCUGCUUACGUCCUUCAGUUAGGCCAUGCCAUAAAGUCCCAUUUAAAAUCAAGGGUCAGGUGGUAAUACUAUAACCUGGCCAUCAACUACUUUCGUUUGGGUUGGUUCAUACAACCAAAUUCAUAAGAAAAUUUAACCCUUAAUAUGAGUCCCUCUUGCCAGAGGAAGUAGGCGAGACCCUGAAUGGAUUUGUAAAGUUAGUCGCCAGACCAGUUACAUUUGAACAUUCGAAGGAAGAAGUAGUCGCUUCUAUCUAACCUAUUGUGCAUAUCACGAACCUGUAGUUUUUUCACAUGACGUAGGCCUCGGCAGCAGGUGGUCCAGUAUCCGGAAACAAAUUUUGGAUAAAAAUUAAACCGCUGGAGGGCGAGCCCUUGGGAUGAAAUGAAAAUACCACUUUUUAGGUCAAGUUUCGUUGUAAAAAUUAGUCUUAGGAGUCUAAUUUUUGGGAUAAAACUACCCUUUGUCCCUCCUGUCGCCCCCUGGAGGUCUGAUUUUUAUGUAAAAUCGAGUGGAGUGGAGAAGUGAAACCGACCUUCAAUUAAUUAUUGCUCAUUAUUGGUCGUUGAUUGAUUGGAUUAUGAAUUCAAUUAACCGACUAUAGUUCUGUCUUUUCAACCUUCAAAUUUGAUGCCUGAAGAAGGGUAGGCGGUGUUUCUGGUGAAUUCGAGAGUGAAUUUCUAUAGUAUCCAACUAUCCAGUUGCUCAGUUGGUAAAAGUGCCCGGCGCGAUAUUAGGAGGUCCGGGUUCGAUUGACGGCUGGGUUAAAGCCGAAUUUUUUCCUCUCUAAUUCUAAUUGUCUUCAAACACGUGGAAAACGCGUUGAAAUCCUCAGUGGAAAACACUAUUUUCCUCAAACUAAAAAAUGAUUCAUCUUCUCCGAAUCGAAAUGUCCGCUUUAACAUCGGCCACGAAAAAGUUUUAACUCUAAAUGUCCAUCCCUAACCUAACCUAUGCGAUACUAUACUAUCCUAUACUAUAUAAAUCGUCUAUGCUCUUAGUACUAUAUAAACUAGUAUAUACUACGGUUUAUACUAUACUACUAUAUAUUAUCUUAUCUUCUUAAUCUUAAUAUAUAUAAAUUACGUGUCACGUUGUUUCUCCGCGAUGGACUUUUAGACUACUUAACCGAUUUUAAUGAAAUUUGCACACCGUGUGCAGUUUAAUUCAACUUAAAAGAUAGCAUAGCUUACAUCUUAAUUUAUAGUCGCAAUAUUAUUUUAUUGCAAAUUAUUUGUCUAUUAUUUGACAUUCACACAUAUUCUGAUCUGUUAACUCCAAAAGAUUUUAACAGAUGGCGAUAUCUAUUGACUGGAUUGAGUAAGGAAUCAGUAGAUGGCGCUGCUAUAUGAAACCUACAAAUGUGUCAUAUAAUCUACAAUUCAAUAACAUAACCACCACGUGUUGUUGAGGCUAAAGUACAAGUUAAAUAUAUUUUGUACGAACGUAACGAAAACGAAAUACAGUGAAAUUCAAUUAUUUUUACUUUGAAAUUUUUGGUGUUAGCUUCACCGGCCACGUGUUACUUAAACUGAAGGGUAAAUUAAAUUCAUAUUAUUGUGAAGAUACUAGUGAAGCUCAAAACUCUUCAAUUAAAAUAUAUACAUUAAUAUGCCACCGAAAAAAUCUAAUCUAAACAACGCGAGGAGCAGAGACGCACAACGAAAACGUGUUGAAAGAGCGCAGCUAUCGGCAGAACAAAUCGCAAGAAGAAAUGCAGCUCAAAGAAUCAGGACGGCAAAGAGUCGUGCACAAGAAUCUCAAGAACAGCGUGACGAACGUGUGCGACAGACUAUUGUGAGAACAAAAGCGGCACGAGAACGAAACAUAGUUAAAGCACGAGAACAAGAACGCCGGAGGCAGCGGAUUAGGCGCUCAUUAAGACGUACAUCAUUUGUUCGUCUUGCUUCUGAAUAUACGCCAGAUAUUGACUACCCUGCACAUUCAAAAAUUGCUGUCGUUGGAAUAGAUCAACUAUGUCAAUAUUGUCAGGCAUUGAAAUUUCCGAAUGAAACACCCGGCGGGUGCUGCACAUCAGGAAAAGUUGCGCUAUCACCUCUACCCACUCCUCCGGAACCUUUAUUAUCCCUUCUUGCUGGCGAUUCAGAUGAUUCAAAGUAUUUUUCCGAAUAUACAGAAUAAUUACUUGAAUCACAACUGGCUCAGUCAUCGAGCGAUUUUGGCAGCCACAAAUGUUGAUGUUGACGAAAUUAACUUCCAGAUAUAACAGUUGUUACCAGGCGAUCUGAUGUCUUUUAAAUCAAUCGAUACUGUUGUUGAUGAAAAUGAAAGUGUAAAUUUUCCAAUUGAAUUUUUAAAUUCACUAGAUAUACCUGGAAUGCCACCACGUAAUCUUCGAUUAAAGAUUGGUGCCCCUAUUAUUCUCCUACCUAAUUGGAAUCCACCUCAAUUAUGCAACGGUACGCGUUUCGUCAUCAAAAAGAUCACUGGAAAUAUUCGUGAAGCAACCAUUUUAACUGGGAAGUUUAAAGGAAAAGUGCUCCUGUUGCCACGUAUUCCAAUGAUACCGUCAGAUUCUACCAUACCCUUCAGAAGGCUACAGUAUCCAAUUCGUUUAGCUUUUGAAAACCGUCGAAUUUAUUUGUGUUAGCUAAAGACAGGUUAAACAAAAAUAUUGUCCACCGAUUAGUGCUAAAUUAAAUUAAAAGUAUUUAUAAUUCAAAAUAAUAAAUAUUAUUGUUAAGCAUUUAAGACUCUCUGCUCUCUCUACCUCAUUCAUAAGUUUAAGUGUUACAUGUUAUUUACUAACAACUUGGUAAUAUACUCAUUUGUUACAAAAUUGAAUAAAAAUAAUGAUAAAUUUUAAAAUUAAUUCUUUUGUAUUGAUUUUGGCUUAAUAUCAGCUGCAUGAAAAUUUUAAUUAAUCGUGUUGAAAAUUCUUCCCCUGCAAAUCCCAAUCCAGUGGAUUUUUAUACCAGCUUUAACGUCUUCGUUCGUGAAUAUUAAUUUCAUUGUACUAAAGGGCUACGGUAGUAGAAAAUCUGUCAGGGAGGUCGCCAUAUUUUUUUACAAAUGGUAUCUAGGUAAAAAAGCAUGGUGAUUACCCUCACUGAUGUUCUCCUACCGUUCCUCCUAAAUAGUUCAGUACAAUGUAAUAUAACAAAAACCUUAGCCACAGCAACGCGUGGCCGGGUCUUCGAGUAUGCUAUAUGACCCAUCUAUGCCCUUAGUUAUCCUAUACUAUCCUAUACUAUAUAAAUCGAAAUACGCG